CUCGCUCUGUCACCCAGGCUGGAGUGCAGUGGCGCGAUCUCGGCUCACUGCAAGCUCCACCUCCCGGGUUCACGCCAUUCUCCUGCCUCAGCCUCUCCGAGUAGCUGGGACUAUAGGCGCCCGCCACCACGCCCUGCUAAUUUUUUGUAUUUUUCGUAGAGACGGGGUUUCACCGUGGUCUCGAUCUCCUGACCUCAUGAUCCGCCCGCCUCGGCCUCCCAAAGUGCUGGGAUUGGGAUUUUUACAGUUCCCCCAGGUGAAUCUGAGGGGCAACACGACUGAGAAUUAUAGAUUUAAGGAAAUAGUCCUAUUUAAAACCAACACUUAGGAAAACAGGUUCUCCAAAUGUCUUCACUUCUUUAUACUCCUGGAUAUAGGACAGUUUACAAAAGGCAUGUAUAAACCCCACUGCAUUCCACUCCCACUCACACAACAAAAAGACCUGGGUAACAUAUGUAUUCUCAUUAGUCACAUAUCACCAAGGACAUUAUUUCUUGGCAAAGGAACUCUUCUGAUAAAAUGAAGAGAAUGUCCAGUUUAGUUCCUGGAAACAUGAAGCUCUGUCUUUCACAGAGGUCUCCUUGGAGGCUGCCUAAAAGAAGUGUCUGGAAUGUAUUUCAUUUCUAGUUCCUCUGUGCGGUAAUGAAAGAACACAAAGUUGUUCUUUGUGAAACAGAAAGAUCAGUAUUGAAGUUCCAGCUAUCACCGUAAGCCUAAGGCUUGGUUUCUUUAUUUAAAAAAAAAAAUAGGAUAAAUAAUGCUUCCAUCAGGGUGUAGAGGAUGCAUAGAGGUUCGUUUACAUGGAAGCACUUCAUAAACUGUAAAGUGCCAUGCAAAUAUGAGACAUGAUUACUGUGAUGGCCACACCUCGGGAUUAACUGCACUCAUGAUGAUUUCCCAAUGAGACUCUGAUUUUGUCUCAAGUGUCAAUAAACCAUUUGCUGUUCAACAAGUUUUGAGCACCUACUAUGUCCCAGGCAUUAGGAGAAGGAUCGGGGAUGCAGCAUUAAGACAAACCAGCCCUCCAGGCCAGGCGCAGUGGCUCACACCUGUAAUCCCAGCACUUUGGGAGGCCGAGGCAGCCAGAUCACCUGAGGUCGGGAGUUCGAGAUCAGCCUGACCAACAUGGAGAAACCCCUGUCUCUACUAAAAAUACAAAAAAUUAGCUGGGCAUGGUGGCGCAUGCCUGUAAUUCCAGGUACUCGGCAGGCUGAGGCAGGAGAAUCACUUGAACCUGGGAGGCAGAGAUUGCAGUGAGCUGAGAUCGUGCCAUUGCACUCCAGACUGAGCAACAAGAGCGAAACUCCAUCUCAGGAAAAAAAAAAAAAAAAAAAAAAAAAAAACAGACAAACCAGCCCUCCAUUAAUCAUGGAGUGGGGGAAGCGGAUAAUAGGCAAGUAAACAAACAAAAGAAUUACAGCUGUGCUAAGUGCUAGGAAAGCUAUAAACAGGCUAGAGGGAGCUCAGCCUGAGGACAUGUGGUCAGAAAGGCCCCUCGGAAGACACAAGUCCACUUGAGGCUUGCGUAUGGGAAGGAGCCAGCCCUAUGAGAUAUAUGUUCCCCCACCCCAAAUUCGUAUGUGGAAGCUUUAGAAUGUGACUGUGCAUGGAGACAGGACCUUUAAAGAGGGGAUUAAGUUAAAAUGAGGCCAUUAGAGUAGGUCCUAAUACAGUCUGACUGGUGUUCAUAUAAGAAGAGAACACUUGGGCACAUAAAGAGACUCUAGGCUGGGUGUGGUGUCUCACACCUGGAAUCCUAGCACUUUGGGAGGCUGAGGCGGGUGGAUCGCUUAAGCUCAAGAGUUCAAGACCAGCCUGAGCAAUGUGGCAAAACCCCAUCUGUACAUAAGAAAUGCAAAAACUAGCCAGGUGUGGUGGCGCACACCUGUAGCCCCAGCUACUUAGGAGGCUGAGAUGGAAGGAUCACUUGAACCCAGGAAGCGGAGGUUUUGGUAAGUCAAGAUCGUGCCACUGCACUCCAGCCUGGGUGACAGAGAGAGAUGCUGUCUCAAAAACAAACAAACAGACUCUUUGGGUGCAACACGUGAAGACAUAGGGAGAAGGCAGCCAUCUGCAAGCCAAGGAGGAGGUCUCCGAAGAAAUCAACCCUGCAGGCAUGUUGAUCUUGGACUUUCAGCCUCCAGAGCUGUGAGACAAUUAAUUAGAUUCUGUUGUUUACGCCACCCAAUCUGUGGUGUUCUGUUAUGGCUGACCCCACAAACUAAUGCAGGGAGCAAAGGCUCUGGCCCCUGACACAGCCUCACAUAUUCCAGGAACUGUUGGAAAACCACUGGCUAGAGCGUUAGGAGUGAGAGUAAGUAGACUGGCAGGAGCUGAGGUUGAAUAUAUAGUAGAAGCUAGAUCACGCAAGAGCUAUGGGGCCACAGCAGAGCGUAGAAUUCAGUGCAGUGGGAACUUAUUCAAGGAUUUUAAACAAAGGGGUGACAAGAUAUUUUUCGUGGAGUUUUUCUAAAUUUUUUAUUUUGGGAUAAUUUUAAAUUUAUACUAAAGUUGGCUGGGUACAGUUGCUCAUUUUCCAGCACUUUGGGAGGCUGAAGCAGGCGGAUUACCUGAGGUCAGGAGUUUGAGAAGACCAGCCUGGCCAACAUGGCGAAACCCUGUUUCUACUUAAAAAAAAAAAAAAAAAAAAAUAGCUGGGCGUGGUGGUGCAUGCCUGUAAUCCCUGCUGCUCGGGAGGCUGAGGCAAAAGAAUCACUUGAACCCGGGAGGUUGCAGUGAGCCUUAAUUGUGCCACCGCACUCCAGCCUGGGCAACAAGAGCAAAACUCCGUCUCAGAAAAAAAAAAAAAAUUAUACUAAACUUGCAGAGAUUGUGCACAGGGUUCUCAAAUACCCUCUACCCAGUUUCCCCUUACCUACCCAUGAUUCCACUGCUGAAACUACAGAUUUUAUUCAGAUUUCACCAGUUUUCCCAAUAAUGUACUUUUGCUUCUGUUCCAGAAUCCAGAUUAGGACACCCCAUUACAUUGGGUGAUUUAUGUUUUAAAAUGUUUGCCAUGGCUGUUCUGUGGAGAAUUAGUGAAAGGAAAGACUGGAAGCAGGGAGUCCAGUUGGUAGGCUAUUGGAAUGAUCCACACCAAGAUGGUGGUUUGAGCUGGAAAGAUGGCAGAGGAUAAAGAGGGGAGGAAGGGAUCUAUUUUGAAAACAGAGUGACUUUCUGUUAGAAUUGAUGUGGGGCAUGAGAGGGGAACAAAAUAGGGAUGAUCUCAGGCUUUCUAGCUCUGCCUAGUGGCCCUGGGUAAGUGGUGGUGCCAUUGCCAUCAUGGGAAACAGUGGAGGAGAAGCAGGUUCUGAGAAGAAAAGCAAGAGCGCCAUUGAGACAUGACGACUUUAGAUACCAAUGAGACUUCCAAGUGGAAAUGAGGGGUAAGAAGUUGGAUAUUGGCCAGGUGUGGUGGCUCUUGCCUGUAAUUCCAGUGCUCUGGGAGGUCAAAGCAGGAGGAUCGCUUGCACCCAAGAAUUCAAGGCCAUCCUGGGCAACAUGGUGAGACCCCGUCUCCACAAAAAAAAAAAAAAAAAAUUAAUUAGCUGGACAUGGUGGCGCACACCUGUCAUCCCAGCUACUCAGGAGGCUGAGGUGGGAGGAUCACUUGAGCCCAGGAGGUCAAGGCUGCAGUGAACCAUGAUCAAGCCACCGUACUCCAGCCUGGGCAACAGAGUGAGACUCUGUCUCAAAAGAAGAAGUUGGAUAUAUAUAUGAAUCUGGCAUUCAGAGAGGGAUGUGGGUCAUGAUUUUUAUCUAGGGAGAGGAGUGACAGAAAAGAGAAGUUUCUAGAUGCUUCAAGAUAGAGAUCGCCCAGGUCGUAAGAAGGACCUUCUGAUGGCUUCCAGGUCCAGCUUCUCAUUGUUUUCUUUAUUCCUUGGUUAAGACUAAUUUUCAAUCACUGGGCUGUGCUUGGUUUUAGGAAAUAAACGAUCUCAAUUUAACCACAAAGAUUUACUUAGAGAGAUCUAAUUUCUCCCCCUGGGUGCCUCCUUCGGGUAAAUUGCAUAAACAUCUCAAUGUCUUGACUGGGCUCAACUUACGUGGCUUUGGAGAGAAACGUUCUCUUCCUGACUACAAGUAGCUUCCCCUGGAAAUUACCAGCUGACAAAUAGGGAAUUUUAUCAUUUCAGGAGAGCUGUAUUUAUUGGGGCUUGCUAUGACAAUAGUCAUCAUGAAGUUUGUUUUCUUUCUUUUUUAUUUUUUGAAAUGGAGUCUCACUCUGACACCCAGGCUGGAGUGCAGUGGCGUGAUCUCACCUCACUGCAAUCUCUACCUCCCAGGUUCAAACGAUUCUCUUGACUCAGCCUCCCGUGUAGCUGGGACUACAGGUGUGCGCCACCACACCCAGCUAAUGUUUAUAUUUUUAGUAGAGACGGGACUUCACCAUGUUAGCCACACUGAUCUCGAACUCCUGACCUCAAUUGAUCUUCCCGUCUCGGCCUCCCAAAGUGCUGGGAUUACAGGCGUGAGCCACCUUGCCCAGCCGUGAAGUUUGUUUUCUAAUUAGCAUAGUAGUCCCUGCUUCUCCAAGGUUUCACUUUCUGCAGUUUUAGCUCCCUGCAGUCAAAUGCGGUCCAAAAAUAUUAAAUGGAAAAUUCCAGAAAAGAACAAUGCAUAAGUUUUAAAUUGCAUGCUGUUUUGAGGAGCAACAUGAAAUCUCGUACCGUCCUGCCCCACCCCACCCAGGGCACGAAGCCUCCCUUCGUCCAUCAACUCUGCUCUGUAUAUGCUACACGUCUGUUACUUAGUAGCUGUCUUGGUUAUCACAUCAAAAAAAAAAAAAAAAAAAAAAAAUAGAGCGUAUAUAGAGUUUGGUACUAUCUGAGGUCUCAGGCAUCCAGUGGGAGUCUCAGAAUAUAUCCCCCUCGGCCAAGGUCGGGGACAACUGCAUUUGUAUUUGUAACUCCAAGAGGACAACAUAGAUGGAUGGAUGUUAACAAUUUCAAAAGGUACUAAAAUUAAUUUGUAAAGCAGGAGUGCCAGUGGGAACUGCAGAAUCCAUAUUUACAGGUCUCUGGAGCUGAUUAUCUCUUCCUUAAAUGGCUUCUAAUUGAGGAUUACAGAAAGAAAAAAAGCACUUGCUUUAUUUUUAGACGUGAUCUCUGAUGUCUUCAACUUUUAUCGUUCUGUUUUUAACCUUAGAUUAUUAUAACCAGCCACCUACAAAAUCUGCAAUGUUCUCUAAUAAGUCAGCACCUGUUAAAAAGGAGGUUGCACAAAACACUCCCAUUUGCAGUUUGGAAGGAUUAUUAUCUACUUUGGUCUGUGAAGUGGAAAGUCAAUGUUCUUAUUCAAUCUGUGUCUAAUGGUAUCAUUUUGAGGACAAUGGAAAACAGAUCAUGUUUGAUUCCUUAAGAUGUGGCCACUGCUAUUUGUGGUACCAUUUGUGAUCUGAGAGCUGCAUGUAAAAAAACACAUCAGCAAAAAGAAUAUCCAGCACACGAGGGCUCGCUUUCUGAUUCUCAGAGGUAUAGUGACAACACAGCUUACCUCUGUAUUCAAAGAAGCCAGAACUUACCCGUGAUAAUCAUUAGUAGAAGACAGCUUAAAGUAGUGUCUGCUUUCUGGCUAGGCCUGGUUCAUGGGCCAGCUGACAAACAGGGAAUUUUAUCAUUUCAGGAGAGCUGUAUUUAUUGAGGCUUGCUAUGACAAUAGUCAUCAUGAAGUUUGUUUUCUUUCUUUUUUAUUUUUUGAAAUGGAGUCUCACUCUGACACCCAGGCUGGAGUGCAGUGGCGUGAUCUCCAGAGUAGACAGCCUACUCUGAUGUGCUAGUAUCAAGGGUGAGGGAGACAGUUAACCAAACUGGUCAAAAGCAUUGUCAGCAAAGACCUAGUGCUGAAUCAUGUUGGGAAAUUGGAAUUUGGAGCUAGAGAGGCAAUACCAAGUAUCAAGGUCUGAAUGUCCGCUUUGUAACCACUGUAGUAAUAAUUGACUCAAAAAAAAAAAAAAAAAAGCCAUCAAUGGAUGCUAAGACCAUUAAGCAAAACAAGUAUUGGCUACAGGAUAUAUCACCACCAAUGCUGGGCGUGGUAGCUCACACCUGUAAUCUCAGUACUUUGGGAAGCCAAAGUAGGUGGAUCAUCUGAGGUCAGAGUUCGAGACCAGCCUGGCCAACAUGGUGAAACCCCAUCUCUACUAAAAACACAAAAAAUAGCCAGACAUCAUGGCACAUGCCUGUAAUCCCAGCUACUCGGGAGGCUGAAGCAGGAGAAUCUCUUGAACCCAGGAGGUGGAGGUUGCAGUGAGCCGAGAUCAUGCCACUGCACUCUAGCCUGGGUGACAGAGUAAGACUCCGAAAGGAAAGGAAAGGAAAGGAAGAAGGAAACGAAGAGGAAAAAAGAAAGACAUGCAGAGAGGACAAACCAGAAAAUAAUGAUUGGCUACCUACGGGGGGCGGAGUGGGGGUGUGUGGAAACAGGGUGGAGAUGGACAGAGAAGCACUACCUCUGGGAGUAAACCUUUUUGAAUCAUUCAACUUUUGAAAUCAUGUUAAUGUUUUCCCCACUCAAAAAUAAUGAAACCAAAUCAACAGGGAUUAGGCAGGGGAUUGGUGGGGUGGAAGAUACUAAAAUAGAAUUAAAACAGAAAUAAAUGAACCUAACUGUAUUUUAAAAGAAAUAAAAUAGCCACACUGAAAAGGAGAGAAAAAGACCUUUCCCAAGGAAUUCUCAAUUACACAGCACUUUGACUAUAUAUCCUCAGUCGGAAGACCAUAAGAAUUGUAAACAAAUAUUGAAUUCUAAGUAAUGUUUGUUUCUUACUGUAGUAUGGGCUAAUAGUACUGAAACUAUUUUUUGUGUAAUGUAAGUUUGAGCAAAUACACAACCCUAGGGCCUACCUGUAGAAGAAAAUCACCAUUUGCAACUAUCAUAAUAGUAAUUGAUUUAAUAGUAAACAUAAUUGAAUGCUAAAACUAGUGUGUGAAAAGUUUGAUAAGGAACAGGAUAUUUACAUAGACUAAGAGUAUUUCUCUGCAAGUGACUUAUUAGUGGAAAAUAGAAAUAGAAAUAAUUUUACGAUAGACAGCCGGGCACAGUGGCUCACACCUGUAAUCCCAGCACUUUAGCAAGCCGAGGUGGGUGGAUCACCUGAAGUCAGGAGUUGGAGACCACGGUGAAACCCCAUCUCUGCUAAAAAUACGAAAAGAUUAUCUGGGUGUGGUGGCGGGCACCUGUAAUCCCAGCUACUGGGGAGGCUGAGGCAGGAGAAUCACUUGAACAUGGGAGGUGGAGGUUGCACUGAGCCAAGACUGCGCCAUUGCACUCCAGCCUGGGCAACAAGAGCGAAACUCUGUCUCAAAAAAAAAAAAAAAAAGAAAGAAAGAAUUUU
Long non-coding RNA from Symphalangus syndactylus (siamang), 7336 nucleotides. RefSeq lists it as uncharacterized. Lineage: Eukaryota; Metazoa; Chordata; Mammalia; Primates; Hylobatidae. The record is from RefSeq and is a predicted model, not a curated record.